GCCCUCGUGGCCUAAUGGAUAAGGCAUCGGUCUCCUAAACCGGGGAUUGCGGGUUCGAUCCCGCCGAGGGUA
This 72-nucleotide transfer RNA is filed under the name Trichonephila clavata. It matches the Rfam family "tRNA". From Rfam's summary of the family: Transfer RNA (tRNA) molecules are approximately 80 nucleotides in length. Their secondary structure includes four short double-helical elements and three loops (D, anti-codon, and T loops). Lineage: Eukaryota; Metazoa; Arthropoda; Arachnida; Araneae; Nephilidae. The record is from Rfam by way of RNAcentral.